ACUUUGGUCCUGCAAAGAAUACACCAAGGGGAAUCUAGGUAUUUGAAGGAAAGAAUGGGGUCUUUAGGUCAUGUUGACGACAGAAAGCCACCGGAAAGUCUUGAAUGGUAAAUUCUGCAUCGCCCGACCGUUGCGCCACCAUUAACCUUCCAAAGCUCUCUCUCUCCAACAAUCAACCAAAUCCUUAGCUCUCUCUCUCUUUCUCGAAGAAUCUUCCGAAUCUUUUCCUCUCUCGUCUCCAAAUCUGUUCCUCUGCAUUUUCUCUAUAUGACAUGGAGAAGCUAUAUUUCAGUAACACGGCAUCGCUCCCAUAGAGCUUCUAUAUGUGCCCAGGGACGUCUUAUCAGUCUUCUACAAUGGUUUUCAACAGUUUCAUGGUGCUUAGUGUUGCUUCCUGGUCAGCAGAUAUUUGCCAAUACAUAGCUUUCAAUCCACAGAGGCUUAGUAGCCACCAAGUGCUUGAUCUCCUAUGCUGUUUCCCUCUACAACAGCUUGGGAGGCUUGCCCUUUGCUUAUGGACCUUCUUUUGUUAUCCCCACCCUGAGUAUUACACUGAUUCUUCUGAUACUUCUGAUUCAGAUUCGAGCUAUGAUUCAGAUUAUCUCCAUUCUGAUUGAUCAUUUCGGGGAGGGAUCUAUAAUGUUAAUGGUGAAAUUUUCAAUGGUUUUCGAUAGAAGAAGUUUAUUAUGAUUCUCUGUAUAUGAUUCUGAUGUCCCCCGCUUCUUGUUUUUUGAGUUUUUGUUAUGUUUUGCAUGAAUAAUUUGGUGAUUGGGCUGCCCCUUUUUUGAUUUCCUGUGUUUGAAUAAUUGUUUAGAAAAAAAGGUGUUUGUAUAAUUGAUAAGUGAAUGGCUGAACUUUAAUUCCUAUAGGGCAAUUGUGGAUUUGACUAUAGGAAAAUGGGCUUGUUUUAGUAAAGGAGGUCUGCUGGUUCUUGUGGUUUAUUCUUCCAAUUUUAUCCUUGUUGAUUUGAUUUUUAUUUUAAACUUAGCAGACAAUUGAGGUUUAAAGUGUAUAAAGAUCCACUAGCAUUGGAAAUUGCAUCAAUUAUGUUUAAAGUUUGCUGAGGUUUAGUUAUUGAAUCUGUUGAAUGAUCCAAAUGCUUAUUCAUCAUUUUAGUUUGUCUUCAGGGUAUCUUAUUUAUUGGUUUUUUGUUCUUUUGUUUGUAUAUUGACAUUCAAAUGUGGGACAUUAUUGCUUCUUGCCCUUGCAAAACUAUCAAGCCAUGAAACUAAACCUCUAUAUAUUGGUCUGGUUGGGUGUGUCUGUGAUUGUAGCUUGAAGGUGGGUAUGCUGUCCUUGAGCAUGAACUUGUACUCUUUCUAUGAAUAUUCAUUUGCUUUAGCUAGAUCAAAGCAAUAAUAAAGAGUUUAGGCUGGGGAAGUUCAUGCUCGACAUUUGUUUGGUGAACGAAAAGCUUGGUCAUGUUUCUUAACCAUUAGAUGAUGUAGUUUUCUUAUUCAUUGUGUAUUGGAAUAGUAGACAAAGCUUCUUGUAUCACUAUUUGACAAUAAUUGAGGUCUCAAGCUGUGUGAUGUCUUUGUGGCACAUAAGCGAAGUCCCAAAUUUUUCCCAAGAAGCUGGCAGAGCAACAUAUACAUAUAUAUGACUAUUGUACAUGCCAAUUCUGUGGUUACUGGUUAGAAUCUGUUGAUAUGGGAGGGGCAUUCCCUUUCACGUUUUUUGGGAAGCUGUGGGAAGCUGUAGAGAUUGAGACAGUCUUCGUUCAUAUAAUGUCAGUUGAUUUCGUGGCAUGGCUAACAUUUGAAAUAUGAUUCCAUGUGGACUCUUUCUGGUGAUUGUGAGUCUUUCUUUUGCCCUAUUCCUCAUCUGAAGUUGGGCUCUUCCUGAAAUUUGGUUACUGUUAGGGAUAUAAUUGUUGAAUUUUGAGGGCUGUCACCUUGCAUUGGGCUGAUUUGAUCAGAACAUUGUUUUGAUUAUCCAGUCUUCAAUUUGUUUGUCUUUAAUGAUGGCUGGGGCUUUACGCAGAGAAUAUAAAAUAUUCACCGACUUUUGUUUAUUGAUUCAGUACCAAGAGUAUGCCUUUUGCUGUAUUUGCUGUUGAUUUCUUGGGGAAUGCAUGGGAACUUAAAUCAUGCCUUGCGUGUGCCUUGAUUACUCAGGCGAGCCUACUUGGAAUUGCUUGAGUAACUUGGACUCGCCCCCCUGGCAAGCCCAAGUAUCCUGAGUUCGGUGGUGCAACGUGGG
RNAcentral lists this long non-coding RNA (2205 nucleotides) under Amborella trichopoda. Its description in RNAcentral is "long non-coding RNA (ATRI_LNC005475)". Lineage: Eukaryota; Viridiplantae; Streptophyta; Magnoliopsida; Amborellales; Amborellaceae. The record is from RNAcentral.